This 497-nucleotide ribosomal RNA is filed under the name uncultured bacterium. Its description in RNAcentral is "partial 16S ribosomal RNA". It matches the Rfam family "Bacterial small subunit ribosomal RNA", at positions 28 to 507 of the family's 1533-position model. The record is from RNAcentral.
GACGAACGCUGGCGGCGUGCCUAAUACAUGCAAGUUGAGCGCUGAAGGUUGGUACUUGUACCGACUGGAUGAGCAGCGAACGGGUGAGUAACGCGUGGGGAAUCUGCCUUUGAGCGGGGGACAACAUUUGGAAACGAAUGCUAAUACCGCAUAAAAACUUUAAACACAAGUUUUAAGUUUGAAAGAUGCAAUUGCAUCACUCAAAGAUGAUCCCGCGUUGUAUUAGCUAGUUGGUGAGGUAAAGGCUCACCCAGGCGAAGAUACAUAGCCGACCUGAGAGGGUGGUCGGCCACAUUGGGACUGGGACACGGCCCAAAACCCUACGGGGGGCAGCAGUAGGGAAACUUCGGAAAUGGGGGAAAGUCUGACCGAGCAACGCCGGGUGAGUGAAGAAGGGUUUCGGAUCGUAAAACUCUGUUGGUAGAGAAGAACGUUGGUGAGGGUGGAAAGCUCAUCAAGUGACGGUAACUACCGAGAAAGGAACGGCUAACUACGUG